This 430-nucleotide ribosomal RNA is filed under the name uncultured bacterium. RNAcentral describes it as "partial 16S ribosomal RNA". It matches the Rfam family "Bacterial small subunit ribosomal RNA", at positions 338 to 795 of the family's 1533-position model. The record is from RNAcentral.
CCUACGGGAGGCAGCAGUGGGGAAUAUUGCACAAUGGGCGAAAGCCUGAUGCAGCCAUGCCGCGUGUAUGAAGAAGGCCUUCGGGUUGUAAAGUACUUUCAGUUGUGAGGCGUUAGCAACAGAAGAAGCACCGGCUAACUCCGUGCCAGCAGCCGCGGUAAUACGGAGGGUGCGAGCGUUAAUCGGAAUUACUGGGCGUAAAGCGCAUGCAGGUGGUUUGUUAAGUCAGAUGUGAAAGCCCGGGGCUCAACCUCGGAAGGUCAUUUGAAACUGGCAAACUAGAGUACUGUAGAGGGGGGUAGAAUUUCGGUGUAGCGGUGAAAUGCGUAGAGAUCGAAGGAAUACCAGUGGCGAAGGCGGCCCCCUGGACAGAACUGACACUCAGAUGCGAAAGCGUGGGGAGCAAACAGGAUUAGAUACCCUUGUAGUC